RNAcentral lists this transfer RNA (71 nucleotides) under Candida viswanathii. Its description in RNAcentral is "tRNA-Phe". It matches the Rfam family "tRNA". From Rfam's summary of the family: Transfer RNA (tRNA) molecules are approximately 80 nucleotides in length. Their secondary structure includes four short double-helical elements and three loops (D, anti-codon, and T loops). Further hydrogen bonds mediate the characteristic L-shaped molecular structure. tRNAs have two regions of fundamental functional importance: the anti-codon, which is responsible for specific mRNA codon recognition, and the 3' end, to which the tRNAs corresponding amino acid is attached (by aminoacyl-tRNA synthetases). tRNAs cope with the degeneracy of the genetic code in two manners: having more than one tRNA (with a specific anti-codon) for a particular amino acid; and 'wobble' base-pairing, i.e. permitting non-standard base-pairing at the 3rd anti-codon position. The record is from RNAcentral. Lineage: Eukaryota; Fungi; Ascomycota; Pichiomycetes; Serinales; Debaryomycetaceae.
GCCUUUAUAGCUCAAUGGUAGAGCAAUCGCUUGAAGCGUGAUUUAUCUAAGUUCGAUUCUUUGUAAAGGCA